GACGAACGCUGGCGGCGUGCUUAACACAUGCAAGUCGAACGGAAAGGCCCGGCUUUUGUUGCGUGCUCGUGUGGCGCGAGGGUGAGACACACGUGUGUAACCUGUCCUUGCCUUUCUGAUAUCUUCUGGAAACUGGGGCUAAUACCGCAUAGGAGCUCUUGCACCACAGGGUGGGUUCGAUAGUUUCGGCGGUUGGGGCAGGACUCGCGGCUUAUCAGCCUGGUGGUCGGGUAGUGGCUGACCAAGGCUUGGACGGGUAGGCGGCCUGAGAGGGGGACCGGCCACACUGGGACUGAGAUACGGCGCAGAAGCCUACGGGAGGCAGCAGUGGGGAAUAUUACACAGUGGCCGGGAGGCUGAGGCAGCAAUGCCGGGUUCGGGAUGAUGGCCUUCGAGUGAAAAACAGCUUUCGACGUGGAUGAAGGGGUAGUGACGGUAAUGGGUAAAGAAGCACCGGCUAACUACGUG
RNAcentral lists this ribosomal RNA (468 nucleotides) under uncultured bacterium. Its description in RNAcentral is "partial 16S ribosomal RNA". It matches the Rfam family "Bacterial small subunit ribosomal RNA", at positions 28 to 507 of the family's 1533-position model. The record is from RNAcentral.